RNAcentral lists this small RNA (128 nucleotides) under Marmota monax (woodchuck). Lineage: Eukaryota; Metazoa; Chordata; Mammalia; Rodentia; Sciuridae. The record is from RNAcentral.
GCCAGGUGCCGUGGCGCAUGCCUGUAAUCCUGCAGCUCAGGAGGCUGAGGCAGGAGGAUCACGAGUUCAAAGCUAGCCUCAGCAACAGCGAAGCACUAAGCAACUCAGUGAGAGAGACCCUGUCUCUA